RNAcentral lists this ribosomal RNA (256 nucleotides) under uncultured bacterium. Its description in RNAcentral is "partial 16S ribosomal RNA". It matches the Rfam family "Bacterial small subunit ribosomal RNA", at positions 15 to 264 of the family's 1533-position model. The record is from RNAcentral.
GAUCAUGGCUCAGAUUGAACGCUGGCGGCAGGCCUAACACAUGCAAGUCGAACGGUAACAGGAAGAAGCUUGCUUCUUUGCUGACGAGUGGCGGACGGGUGAGUAAUGUCUGGGAAACUGCCUGAUGGAGGGGGAUAACUACUGGAAACGGUAGCUAAUACCGCAUAACGUCGCAAGACCAAAGAGGGGGGACCUUCGGGCCUCUUGCCAUCGGAUUUGCCCACGAUGGGAGUUAGCUAGUAGGUGGGGUAACGGG